GACGGAGGAGGCAAGCGUUAUCCGGAAUUAUUGGGCGUAAAGCGUCCGCAGGCGGUUAUUUAAGUCUGUUGUCAAAGGUCACAGCUCAACUGUGGAUCGGCAAUGGAAACUGGAUGACUUGAGUGUGGUAGGGGUAGAGGGAAUUCCCGGUGUAGCGGUGAAAUGCGUAGAUAUCGGGAAGAACACCAGUGGCGAAGGCGAUCUACUGGGCCACAACUGACGCUGAGGGACGAAAGCUAGGGGAGCGAAAGGG
Molecule: ribosomal RNA, 253 nt
Filed under: uncultured bacterium
Lineage: Bacteria
Description: partial 16S ribosomal RNA
Rfam family: Bacterial small subunit ribosomal RNA
Source: RNAcentral